RNAcentral lists this long non-coding RNA (487 nucleotides) under Homo sapiens (human). RNAcentral's name for it is "HSALNT0355188". Lineage: Eukaryota; Metazoa; Chordata; Mammalia; Primates; Hominidae. The record is from RNAcentral.
AGUCCUCAUCAGGCACCAAUCUGCUGGCACCUUGAUCUCGGACUUCCCAGCCUCCAGAACUGUGAGCAAUAAAUUUGUUGUUUUUAAGCCGCCCAGUCUGUGAUGUUUUGUUUUAGCAUCCCAGACUAAGUAAGGGUUUAAAAGAGGUGAUUAAGUUAAAAUGAGGUCAUCAGGGUGCACCCCAGUCCGACAUAGCUGAUGUCCUUAUAAGAAGAGGAAAUUAGGACACAGACAUAUGCCAUGUGAAGACGCAGGGAGAAUGUGACAUCUGCAAGCCAAGGAGAGAGGCUGCAGGAGAAACCAGCUCUGCUGACACUUUGAUCUCAAGCUCUGGCCACCAGAACUGUGAGCAAAUAAGUGUCUGUUGUUUAGGGCACCCUGUCCAUGGCACCUUGCUCCGAUAGCCCCAGGAAACGAAUCCACAGCACAGGUUUGUGCUCAGAAGCCCCUACACCAGCUGCUGCGUGAUGGAGAACAGGAGUCAAAG